Molecule: ribosomal RNA, 370 nt
Filed under: uncultured Lachnospiraceae bacterium
Lineage: Bacteria; Bacillati; Bacillota; Clostridia; Lachnospirales; Lachnospiraceae
Description: bacterial SSU rRNA
Rfam family: Bacterial small subunit ribosomal RNA
Source: RNAcentral
UGGGGGAAUAUUGCACAAUGGGCGAAAGCCUGAUGCAGCGACGCCGCGUGAAUGAAGAAGUAUUUCGGUAUGUAAAGUUCUAUCAGCAGGGAGAAGAAUGACGGUACCUGACUAAGAAGCACCGGCUAAAUACGUGCCAGCAGCCGCGGUAAUACGUAUGGUGCAAGCGUUAUCCGGAUUUACUGGGUGUAAAGGGAGCGCAGGCGGCGCGGCAAGUCUGAUGUGAAAGCCCGGGGCUCAACCCCGGUACUGCAUUGGAAACUGUCGUGCUAGAGUGUCGGAGGGGUAAGCGGAAUUCCUAGUGUAGCGGUGAAAUGCGUAGAUAUUAGGAGGAACACCAGUGGCGAAGGCGGCUUACUGGACGAUAACU